This 74-nucleotide transfer RNA is filed under the name Pontibacillus litoralis JSM 072002. It matches the Rfam family "tRNA". From Rfam's summary of the family: Transfer RNA (tRNA) molecules are approximately 80 nucleotides in length. Their secondary structure includes four short double-helical elements and three loops (D, anti-codon, and T loops). The record is from Rfam by way of RNAcentral. Lineage: Bacteria; Bacillati; Bacillota; Bacilli; Caryophanales; Bacillaceae.
GUCCUAGUAGCUCAGCUGGAUAGAGCAACGGCCUUCUAAGCCGUAGGUCGGGAGUUCGAAUCUCUCCUGGGACG